ACUCCAGCUUCUCCUGCCUUAUACCUGCAGGCAUCAGAACCCCCGGAGGGCUUCUUAAAACAUAUGGAGCCCCAGAGUUUCUGGUUCAGUCAGUAUGAGAUCAGGCCAGAGAAUCUGCAUUUCUGAUCGGUACACAGUCCUGAAAGAGGAGGAAGACAACAAAGACAUAUAACUAAACGCAAACACAUUGCCAUGGCGCCAAAGAAAUGAGAAAGAUCAGGGUGGGACCUGCCGUCUUUCCUGCAAUUGGGCUAGUUCAAGCUGUA
Molecule: long non-coding RNA, 266 nt
Filed under: Homo sapiens (human)
Lineage: Eukaryota; Metazoa; Chordata; Mammalia; Primates; Hominidae
Description: HSALNT0120575
Source: RNAcentral